This 861-nucleotide long non-coding RNA is filed under the name Numida meleagris (helmeted guineafowl). Its description in RNAcentral is "lncRNA (ENSNMEG00000002209.1)". Lineage: Eukaryota; Metazoa; Chordata; Aves; Galliformes; Numididae. The record is from RNAcentral.
ACAUCAAUGUCAUUUCUGCUACUGAACACAUAAGUUAAUAUUUUCAACUAUAUCCUUCUGAUUUUACCUUCUUCUUUAGUAAGUGAAUUAUAUCUUUGCAAGAAAUUAGCAUAAGUGACAAAGGGAAGGUUUCAUUUCUCACACAUACUUUACCUUCUGUAUGCACUCUUCAGCUUGCUGAGGAGGGUGUCCAAGAUGGCGGCAGCGGGAGGUUUGAGGCUUAAAGCCCACCCCACUUAAAUUGUAUCUAAACAAAUAAAGGCAAGAAGCAUUAUGGCAGUAAGGUUGUGCAGAGGUGGAGAUCUCUCAGGACUAGUGCUGGCAGGGCUCUGCCUCCAUACUGGCCUUCUGAGAAAUGGAGAGGUUGUGCACAUUUGGCACUGAGGCCCAGCCGCAUCCAGCAAGGUUGGACCUGCCUCAGUGAGACUUGUGGUGGGAAGCAGACCUGGUGCUGGCUGCAAUCUGCAAUCAGAGGUCAAUUUUGUUUUCCUGUAUCGGCAAAACAGCCAGAUUAAACAAGUAAGGAACCCUCCCUUUGUUUGUGUUCAAUACCUAAUUUCCAGUGUUUCUCAAGAAAAACAGUGCUGCAGAUAAAGACAAACAAUCUGAGACAGCAUGACAAAGAACCAUGGAGUUUGCACCGAGUUCCUGCAAACAGUGCAACUGCUAAUGUAUCAAUUUCAGCUAGUCUUAUUUUCCCUUUAUCUGUUGUGUACAUAAUAUAAUCUAAUCACCUAUGCUUGGAAAGUAUAAAGCAGGUGGGAUUUUCCUGAUUGAAAUUCCAUUGAUGAAAUAAGGAUUACUUCUUUUACUGCAAGACCUUUCCUGAAUACCACGUGGGUACAUUAAACAUUGUAAAAU